RNAcentral lists this ribosomal RNA (560 nucleotides) under Synechococcus sp. BAC 26. RNAcentral describes it as "bacterial SSU rRNA". It matches the Rfam family "Bacterial small subunit ribosomal RNA", at positions 155 to 748 of the family's 1533-position model. Lineage: Bacteria; Bacillati; Cyanobacteriota; Cyanophyceae; Synechococcales; Synechococcaceae. The record is from RNAcentral.
AACGGCCGCUAAUACCCCAUAUGCCGAGAGGUGAAAUGAAUUUCGCCUGAGGAUGAGCUCGCGUCUGAUUAGCUAGUUGGUGUGGUAAAGGCUCACCAAGGCAUCGAUCAGUAGCUGGUCUGAGAGGAUGAUCAGCCACACUGGGACUGACACACAGCCCAGACUCCUACGGGAGGCAGCAGUGGGGAAUUUUCCGCAAUGGGCGCAAGCCUGACUGAGCAACUCCGCGUGAGGGAUGAAGGCCUCUGGGCUGUAAACCUCUUUUCUCAAGGAAGAAGAACUGACGGUACUUGAGGAAUAAGCCACGGCUAAUUCCGUGCCAGCAGCCGCGGUAAUACGGGAGUGGCAAGCGUUAUCCGGAAUUAUUGGGCGUAAAGCGUCCGCAGGCGGUCUUGAAAGUCUGUUGUUAAAGCCUGGAGCUCAACUCCAUUUCAGCAAUUCAAACUAGAAGACUAGAGUGUGGUAGGGGCAGACGGAAUUCCCGGUGUAGCGGUGAAAUGCGUAGAUAUCGGGAAGAACACCAGUGGCGAAGGCGGUCAGCUGGACCAUAACUGACGUUA